CGUCUCACCCGGGUCUCUGCCGGAACUCCACAUUGUCUCUAUCCAAUCCACCACUGAUGGGCAGGCCUAUGUCUCUGCUGUUGUGAAUAGUGCUGCCAUGAACAUGAGUGUCCCUCUCACUGGAAACUUGUUUUCACUGGCAGACACCAUUGUGGCUUUUGUCUGACUACUGUGUCCAGUUCAUUCCUACCAAGAUUGCCACUCUCUAAGGGAGCCUUGUCCAGAAAAAAAAAUUAAUUUCAGGUGUGUCAGUUGUCUUGUACAUUUGAGCCUUAGCCCCACGGGAAACUGAAAAAAAAAAUCGGACGGCUCAGUAAAACCUCUUCCUUCCGUUGUAAAUGUUACUCACAGCAUCUUUUCCCAUGUUUGUUGGUGAUAAAUUCACUGUCAUCUCAGUAAGAGUAUAACAUCAUGCUGAAGAUAUUUCUGUGAAGAGUUUUGUACUGAGAACAUCAUACCAGGACAACUCCUUGAAGGGCAUUAAUUGCAGCUUUGGGAUUU
This 501-nucleotide long non-coding RNA is filed under the name Pan troglodytes (chimpanzee). RNAcentral's name for it is "long non-coding RNA NONPTRT014571". The record is from RNAcentral. Lineage: Eukaryota; Metazoa; Chordata; Mammalia; Primates; Hominidae.